GGCAGAGGAGGGGUCUAAUAAAAAUUCUGCCCAACCAUUCCUCCUGCUUCUCAGUCCACACAGACAUGAAUGACUGCGUCUUGCUGCUGUGACAAAUAGGCUACUACAUUAAAUGGUUCUUCAUCUAUAGUGGAUGUGGAAUAUUUAUGAGUUCAAAUGUUGUUUGUUCAUGUUUUAUCAAUAAUAAAAGGCAUUCCUAUACGGGACAUUCCAGGAUUUUGAUACAUUUCCUGUCCCACCACUUAAAUCUCAAAUUUUUUAUGCUAUUAAGUUGUGUCCCACAACAUGCGCGCAACCCUGUUACCAUAAGGAAUUUUACCUGGCAGAGAAAGAGCUAAAAAUAUUUGUCUACUGGCACAAAGGAAGUUACAACACAAGGACAUUUUCUGCUCACAUGGCAAGACCAAAGGUAAGUGCUCUAACAAUUUUCAGGUUUUUUUCCCAAAUAUGUUUGUCCAAGUUGCGUGUGUCACUCAGUGAACGCAACUCUGUUACUCAUAUUGUACGACUAAUAUUGAGUAGAGUCGAAAUGUACUUUAUAUACUUAUAUAACCAUGUUUGUCCUUGAUCUUGUAUACAUAGCUAAAUUUUACAGUUAGCAUCUGUUCCAGGGGUAAACCACAACUUAGCCUAGAUUUGCAACCC
Molecule: long non-coding RNA, 645 nt
Organism: Alosa sapidissima (American shad)
Lineage: Eukaryota; Metazoa; Chordata; Actinopteri; Clupeiformes; Clupeidae
Exons: 3
Source: RefSeq, a predicted model, not a curated record